RNAcentral lists this long non-coding RNA (483 nucleotides) under Gossypium raimondii (Peruvian cotton). Its description in RNAcentral is "long non-coding RNA (GRAI_LNC005223)". Lineage: Eukaryota; Viridiplantae; Streptophyta; Magnoliopsida; Malvales; Malvaceae. The record is from RNAcentral.
AUAAACAAGGAUCCGCCUUUCCUAUUUUUCUUCAGCUUCUUUCUUACAUACCUGUGUUUCAACACUCGGAUUAUCUCUCCGGCAACGUCUUCCUGGUGGUGGAAGUGGUGAACACUGAAGGCCAAGUAACAAGUUAGCAAAAUGGGACCUGGUGGACCGGGAGGAGGGCCGGGAGGACCUGGUGGACCGGGAGGAUGGGGAGGAGGACCUGGUGGUUGGGGUCCUGGCCCCGGAGGACCUGGCGGAUUUGGGCCUGGAGGUCCUGGUUGGGGUCCGGGACCUGGAGGUCCUGGUUGGGGUCCGGGACCUGGAGGUCCCUGGGGCCCUGGAUUUGGAGGUCCUGGUUUUUGGCCUGGUGGGUUCUUUGGCGGCUUUGCAGAUGGUUUGUGCAAUAUGAUAUCUUCCUGGUAAGCAAUCAAAUCUUUACUCAAUUCCGGUAUAGUUAAAUGCGGUUUGAUUGAGGUUAAAUUUGAUUGGGAUUGC